Molecule: unclassified non-coding RNA, 378 nt
Filed under: plant metagenome
Description: partial contains 5.8S ribosomal RNA, internal transcribed spacer 2, and large subunit ribosomal RNA
Rfam family: 5.8S ribosomal RNA (bases 1-105)
Source: RNAcentral
GAAAUGCGAUAAGUAAUGUGAAUUGCAGAAUUCAGUGAAUCAUCGAAUCUUUGAACGCACCUUGCGCUCCUUGGUAUUCCUUGGAUCAUGCCUGUUUGAGUAUCAUGAAAUCUUCAAAGUAAAUCUUUUGUUAACUCAAUUGGUUUCUACUUUGGUAUUGGAGGUCUUUGCAGCUUCACACCUGCUCCUCUUUGUUCAUUAGCUGGAUCUCAGUGUUAUGCUUGGUUCCACUCGGCGUGAUAAGUUAUCUAUCGCUGAGGACACUGUAAAAGGUGGCCAAGGUAAAUGCAGAUGAACCGCUUCUAAUAGUCCAUUGACUUGGACAAUACUUUUAUGAUCUGAUCUCAAAUCAGGUAGGACUACCCGCUGAACUUAAGC